UGGAGACAGGAUCCUCACCCUGGGCCAGACAGUCUGUAUUUGCACCCAAACUCUGGUGUUUGCUAUGGUUUUGUGCCUACUCAGAUGGACUCACUUCAUCUGAGGCACAUUGUGUGUGAUGUGACAGAGAUGGAGUCUGGCAGACAGCAACCCUGCUGAGCACCUCACAGCCUGCCCCUUCUUUCCUCCCAGAUCCUGUGUAUGGUACCUUCAUUCUGCUGACCUCUGUCUGUCUUUGUGAGCCAAGGCUGUAUUUUAAUGAGCAAAGUUUUGAAUAGUGUCUUAAUACCUGUUACGGUAGAUGGUGUCCACACUGGAAGUGCCACUGAGCCUUGUGGCCCACAGGACUGGCCUCGAGUGACUGUCUGCAUCUGCGCCCACUCCAGUGCACUUGGCUGGCCACACACAGCCUUCUGUCUUAGCUGUGUCCUGUCGACUGACAGUUGAGAUGCCUUUGGUGA
RNAcentral lists this long non-coding RNA (461 nucleotides) under Mus spretus (western wild mouse). RNAcentral's name for it is "predicted gene 14286 (ENSMSPG00010035805.1)". The record is from RNAcentral. Lineage: Eukaryota; Metazoa; Chordata; Mammalia; Rodentia; Muridae.